AACUGAAGAGUUUGAUCAUGGCUCAGAUUGAACGCUGGCGGCAGGCUUAACACAUGCAAGUCGAGCGGGGGAAGGUAGCUUGCUACUGGACCUAGCGGCGGACGGGUGAGUAAUGCUUAGGAAUCUGCCUAUUAGUGGGGGACAACGAUCU
This 151-nucleotide ribosomal RNA is filed under the name Acinetobacter baumannii ABNIH14. RNAcentral's name for it is "partial 16S ribosomal RNA". It matches the Rfam family "Bacterial small subunit ribosomal RNA", at positions 1 to 152 of the family's 1533-position model. The record is from RNAcentral. Lineage: Bacteria; Pseudomonadati; Pseudomonadota; Gammaproteobacteria; Moraxellales; Moraxellaceae.